This 10609-nucleotide long non-coding RNA is filed under the name Capsicum annuum. RNAcentral's name for it is "long non-coding RNA (CANN_LNC001161)". Lineage: Eukaryota; Viridiplantae; Streptophyta; Magnoliopsida; Solanales; Solanaceae. The record is from RNAcentral.
AACAACAGUCAACAGUUGUUAACAAAUAACGAUGACAACGAGCAACAACGUGCAAAACCCGACCCCCAGACCCGAUUUCGUCACUAACUCAAUACACAAACGACGUAACAGCGACAACCUCAACAACAGCGUACAAUUUCAAUGCUGUAACCACAAGCAGCCAACAACGACGGUAGCACCACAUCAAUAACGACAAAAUUCCAGACGUCUCAUUUACUAUUUUGCCUUGUCAGAUAGUCUUUUAUGGAUAAAAUGCAGAAUGCUCUCAUCUUUUCAGUUGGUGGUUCAUCAAUUUGGGGAAAAAAUCAAUUCACCUCCUUUGACCAAGCAAAGUAACGACUCUUUCCUCCUUCUCUCCACUGAUUUUUGAGUACAAAAUAUGGCCUUUGUCUCACUAUGGAUGUGAAACUUUUUUAAGAAUUGGUUGAAAUUUUAGAUUUGAAAUCCAUCCUUUUUUCAAAAUUCGAAACCCAUUUUCUCCCCCAAUUUAUCUUAUAAAUAGUGGUUGAAGGAUACGGGAAAAGAGGAGGAAUUUUAGGAAAAAAAAGGGUGUUCUGGAGACGCGUGUCUCUAACCUCACGCAACCAAAAAUCCGGAAAGAAAACUCGAAAAAUCAAUUUCCAACGAAUUCAGUUGAACACUAUUGAUUUUGGAAUCUAGUUUUGGCCGUGGUGAAGGUUUCAUCCUUGAAAAACUCGUAAUCCCAUUCGCUGCCCGGGAAAAAGGUUAACACAUCUUCCUUUUUUCUUUUAGUUGAUUGUUCUUCACCGUCUUCUUUAUAGACUUCUCUCGUUAUCAUAAUGGCUGAGACUGUUUAGUUGAUUGUUCUUCACCGUCUUCUUUAUAGACUUCUCUCGUUAUCAUAAUGGCUGAGACUGUUUGCUGUAGGAACUUAGGAUUUUCUUAUAUUUUUUGUCGAUUUGGUGGCUGUGUUCCUGUAGUUCCUAGGCUGCAUCUUAUUAUGUUUCGUUAUUUGUGUUGUUUGGUGGUAUGUCAGAUUUUGAAAUUAUUUAUUCUUUUUCUUGUUUGUUGCGGGAAUGAAAAUUCACUCAACAAGUUAAACUUCUGUGUGGAUUUCUUGAUUUUGUUAAUAAGUAUAUUUUGUCAAAGAGAAAAUUUGCCUUUUUGUUUCUCUGUAUUGCUUGGAAAACAGUGGCUCGGAAGUCGAUUUUCCUUUUUCCAUUGCUUUCCAUAUUGGUUAUUAGUGUUUACGGAUGUACCAAAUAAAUUUUACUUCCUUAGAUUUGCCUUGUCAUUGGUUUUGUUAUUUGAAAUAGAAUAAUGUCUCUCUAAAGUUGGCACGAUUAAUUCAUUCUCUUGCAAAUAAUUCAUUGUGCUGCAUUUGAUCCAUCUUCUACGUGCACGUUGCAAUUGCCGUUUAAAAUUCGAUAUUGUCUUGAAAUUUCUAAACUCUUUUACUCCAUACAAAUUAAUUCUAGAGUUAAUAGUGGACAUAUAUUAAUAACAAUUUUUUAAGUGUUGCUUUCUUAACUAGUUAUAUUAGUACUAUUUGAAUAAAUUCCAAUCUUUAUAUUUUCUUGAUGCACGUGACACCGACUUGAGUCUCAGCGGACUCCAUUUCCUACAUUUCUCGAUGGACUAGGCCUACAUCUUCUACAAGUUCCAAAUGCCUUCAUUUUUGAAGGAACGAGGCUGGUAUACAUUUGUAUAAGCCUGAUAUAUGAGGUUUACAGGUUAAAAGUGGCUGAUAUAAGUCAAGAGAUGACUUAUGGUAAAGCUAGCAAGAAUAAAAGGUUUUCCAUGCUGUUAUACAGCGUAUAUACAGAAAAAAUGCAGUAAAACGAGGCUGAUAUACAGUCAGUAUACAGCUGGUAUACAACUGCAGAAAUGGACCAAAAGUCCAUAAAGAAUGAGCCCAAAAGUUUUCUAGAUUUGGAAAAGGCCCAUCUUUUAAUUCUUCUUAUUCAUCUCCUUGUAAAUCCUAUUUGAUAAUAUGUUUGCCUUAAAUUAUUAAUUUGGUUAACUUUUAUAAAUCCCCUUCGAAUCAUUAUUUUUGUUUAUCUCUGUAUUUUUCCUUUGUUAUUUUAUAGCGUAAUAUUCGAAAUUAAUAAAAAUAUAUCUUUCUUUAUGUUUUUUCUUAAAAUAAUUUUUUCUAAAAAAAAUAAUCAAAUGACAUUUUAUUUUAUCAACGUGUCAAAGUAGUUCAUUUAAGUUAAAAAGAAUUCUCAUCGACCUAAAAUCAAUUUCCUUUGCAAAAAAUAAAAAUAUUUUCACUAAUUAGUCAAGGCUCAUAAUUUGUUUAAAUUGAUAUUUUUCUUUAAAGACAAAUAUUUUUUUAAUCAAAAAUGAUAUGUAAAAAUCACUUUAUUUCUCCCUUUUAUUUGAAAGAAUAAUUUAUGAAAAAAACGGGUUUAGCUCAACCUUCUUUAUAGGAAAUUUUCUCAAGUUAAAUUGGACUAAUUUUCACUUGGUUGACAAAUGUCAUUUUAAGUCUUCAAAAAAUAGUUAAAGGUAAUAUUUUUUAUAAAAUCAAGUCUUCGUAAAAAUUAGCCACGUUUAGUUAGUCAAGUUAGUUCUUUUUGGUAAAUCGUUUUAAACGGACGCUCCUAAGUGCCUUAAAAACCUUCUUAGAGUGUUAAUUGAACCCUUAUCCAGUUCUCUGGUUUUAAAGGCUUAUUUCUGUUAUUGAGCCUUUGAAACUCUUUUUAAGUUUUUUCGUGAUUUUUUCUAUAAAAAUUAAGUGGCGACUCUAUGAAUUUCUUAAAAUUAUUUUGAAUUUUUUUUGAAUCUUUCUCGUCAAAUGAAUCCGUAAAGAAUAAAACAAAGUUUAAGGAGGGUAGGGUUCAAAAGAGGGAUAAAAAUUGAAUGGCUUACGACUUGUGAUGUGUUUGCCAAAGAAAGGUCAAAAGGCUCAAAGUGGGUGACUAGGGAUAACAUUUAUGCGAGGGUAGACUUUUUAGGCUAGAGUGGACUUUCAAUAUCGCAAAGAUGGCCUAGGAUCAUCUCACCAACCAAGUACAAUCAAAAUUAGUCUUGAUAUACUAAUGGGGCAAGUUCUAGAUGGUACAAGUAUACAUGAGAUUUAAACAAAUAAGUUCACCGCACAUGGCAUACAAAUUCGCCAAGGAGGUUCAAUUGCCCCUCCCGUUAGAGACAAAAAUAGAGUACUUACCAAUUUUCACAAGCCAAAAUUUUGGAGUCAUAAAAAGAGAAAAAGUAUUGAUACAAGAUCGCUCAUGUCUGUACCCUUGAUUUUUGGAAAAAAAAUUAGACGGAGGGGGGUGUUUGCUUUCCAUUUGCACCACAUAUAAUUUGCUAAUUAUGGAACCAACAUAAGCCUUCGUCUCACAUGUUGGCUUUCAUACGGGCAAACCAUAUGGAUACUCAGACUUCGCCAUAGGUAUAAUUAGAUCCCAAAUUCAAAAUGCUACAGGUACUCAGAUUUUUCUUGCAUUUAUUACCUCGAUGCUACGGAUACUCAGACUUCCCCUACAUUCAUGGCUCGAAACUCAAUUACAAUGCUUUUCCCUUAAGAAUGUCCUCACUCAAUCUAUCAUAGGAAAAAGCUAGUCCGAUAUCACCAUAACCAAAAUAAAGAUAAAGUAAAAAUGUAAAAACAAACUAAACAACUAAUCCAUGAAACAUGGGCACCAGCAGAGUGCCCAAAAAAUGCAACCCAGAAACAAAAAAUUAAAAAUCAUCCAAAAAGUCAUCAAAACAUCCAAAAAUAUCUAAAUAAUAUAGAUCCGGGGGCAGGCACCCCCUACUGAAAAGCUAGCAGUGUCCUCACUGCAUAAGUAAUAGAGCAUAAAAUAGAGAUAAGGGUGCUCUCUAAAACUGCAUCAGGAGCUGCUUUCGCUUGCGGACUUGCAUCAUCUCAAUCAGCAUCAGCACCGGACUACUCAGUAGGGGCCUCAUCAUCGCUGUCCAUCCUGGGAGAAGGUAGUCUGUCUCAGAAUAUUAGCACUUUCCACAGGCCCUUUACCUCUUUCUACAUCUUACUGAAAAACUUAUCUUUCUUCUUCUCCCUUUUCUUUAUCUUCUCGUGGGAGUCCCGAAGCUUCCUGUGAUACUCUGCCAACGCUGAGUAUGCCCUUUUGAGCCUAGAAAUGGUGGCUUCUUGAGUCUGUUGGUCCUUUGGAUACUUCUCUUAAUUUGAUCGGGACACAAAUGAGUAGCGGGUGGUGGAGGGCUCUCUUUGCCUCUGGGGCAAUACUGACACAAGCCCCUUGAUGACCCUAAUAUCAACACCAAUAUCUUCAAGAGGCCCAACAGUGAAUGGCCUACAUGACUCUGACUUCUCACAUGUCGACUUUCUCAAGUCGAUCUUUCUAUUUUUCCUUUUUCUCGGUGCACCUUAACCCCAAAUUUUGAGAGGAUAAAUAGGGGUUCAGGGCGCACCCAAGUAUCUCCUGGGUAUUCCGCAACCCCAACUCUCCUGAAUAGCUCAGUGAUCAAAGAAUGGAAUAAGAGAUACAUACCACCAGGGUUUCUGAAGAACUGCAUAUCAGAUAUUACCAACAGAUAUCAUCUGACGACCAACAUUUAAAGAAAAGUUGUCGAGUAUGCAGGGAACCAUAUGGGAACGCAAAUCUGUAGUUGCAGUCAAAUGAAUGCAAGGAGAGAUCCGGCUGCAAAUGAUAUUCAGCUAUAUUCGGGCCUCAGUAGUGAAGUCAUUCAUCGAGAUGCCCCUUUUGGUUGCCACCUACAAGACCUCCUUGACUGGGCACAACCUCUCUACCAUCUAGCUUCCCGGCUCACACCCCUUAGCUUCAAUGUCAACUAUGUCUACAUUUGGGAGCCCAUAUAGAUCAUUGAUUUGUUCCACCUCAAAUUACACAUUCCUCCCCAAAUCCUGAUAACUGGGUUUUUAAAAGAUACUAUACUAAGAUUAGCGUAGAACUCUCGCACCCAUUGCUGAUGUGCCCGGCAAGGAUCCAGAGCAAAACAUCUCCACCUAUUAUCCACGAGCCUAUCAUGCAAUGCUGAAAGAUUUUUCGACACCUUCUCCAAACAUAUACUCCUUUCGGGAAGCAACUUUGUCCUUAGAAACUCAUCGUAGUAUUGGUUGUGGCACUUGGGAGUCAUGAAUCAAAUUUGGUCAUAAUUCUCAAUAAUGUAAACCUAAAAAACAUGAGUACAACAAAAAUAUUUAUCAUCAAUAUUUUCAUGCUUAAACUAGACUAUUUUGUCUUAUAAAACUCAUGGGAUGGGUACUUGGUGGUGUUUGACCAAAAAAUCAAAGUGCAGAAAUUUUGGCCUAGGCUGAGAUUCAGCCUUAGUUAUGGCGAUCACAAGCCACUGAGUUGUGAUUAUGGUGCCGCGAUCGUGACUCGAUAACUGUGAUCACUGGUUCCGCAAUCAUGAUCCCGUGACCGCAAUUAAGGUAACUAAGGCUAGAUUGGGCUAGAUUUUCAAAAGCUUCACAAUCCAAUUUUAAGGCCAAAAUAUGUUUGAAAACAACAGUUAAUCAAUAAGCAUAUCAAACAAAACUUCUAAGUUCUUAAUCAUGCCCUCACGAUGUGAAAAUAAUGAGUUAUAGACUCUUUUGGGCAUUUGAUCGGGCACUUGGUGUGCUCUCUAUACUUUACUCAAAUUCACACAUUUUUUGGAUACUCAAGAUUUUCCCACAUGUAUGCACACUAUUUUUAACAGCUUCACCACACAAGUAAGAUUUAACAAGAAUUUAGCAAGGAAAAACAUAGUUUUAGGCCCUACCUAGUUCAUGCACUCUAAGGCCUACUCACAAUAAUUAAAAACAUGAAUUUAAAGCACUUACCGGAAGAGUGAUGCAAGAUGGAUGCAAAGAUGCUUUUGAAAUGCUCAAAAUAUAGACAGGAACAUGUGUAAUUUGAGAGAAAAGUUGGAGGGGGAAUGUGAGGUAAAUAGGAGACCGGUGGUCUUUUAAACCAUGUCUGGCUGCGAUCGCGGUCAAGGUUCGCGAUCGUUGACAAGCGGAUGAUCGUGAUUGCGACAAAGACCCAACAAUCGUGUUAACAGAGGGCAUUUCUACACCUCUAUUUUCCCCUGUUCAGUCCAACAUGCAAAAAUCCCACUCUUACCCUCUUUCAAACUUAUUCAAUGCACUCUAAAGUGCCAUAAAUGCAUGGAUUAAUCAAUGACAAAAUUAAAAUCUACACUACCAAGUUAAAAAGAAAGGAUACGGGCCACUUUAUGGCGUGAUGGGUUGAUUCCCAUCGAGUGCCAAAUUUUAAUGUCGUGGCACGACACACCUUUUCAAGUAUCAUUUAUGUCUCUACUUAGAAGAUUUAAACUGACGUCCCAUCUUGCAACCAUUAUGUUUUGAGCGAAAGUCGGACAAAAGAUUCAAAUAUUCCAAAAUGAGACGAAAUAAAGUUGAGGAGGUAUUGAUGACUUCUCUAUCUCGCCACUUUGAAGACUUGAAUCGUUUACCCAACUUUACAUCAAACUCUCGAGUAGGCUCAUUGGGUAUUAGUAAGAACAUCAAAAGACUACUAGUUGAAUAUUAGAUUUUCAGCUUUCUUGUCUUCAAAUGAGGGACGUCAUCUCUCCCUUUUAAGAUGACAAACUCCAAAAUAUAAGAAUUUUGUACCCCAUUUCUCAAAUUCGCCAUUUGCUUGGGUGUCUUAACUUUCAUCACAUCCAGCAAGCAUAAUGUUUAAAAAUGAUUAGAAUGAGGUCGUUGUCCCAAUUCUGGAUUCGCAUUCAUCUUGAAAUUCUCAUCCGAAAAUGAACUAAGCCCUCACAAUGGAUUUGCUUAGCUUCUUCUUUGGACUCUAGUACCAAUUCCUUUACUGUGGCAUCCUUUAUUAGUUUUUGUUUGUUUGGUUGGCAAAUCACCAAGGAUUCUUCACUAUCAAGCUCAUAAUCAAGCUCAUGGCUUGAUAUCUUUUCUUUAUCAUCCUUAUUUUGAAGAUUGGGCAUAUACAUGACACUUGAAAGAUUGGUCUCCUCACCCACUUCUUAUUUUUCACUGUCCAUUCCAAAUGCCAUCAUGGGUUGAUUCUAGUGAUGCUGUCCUCCUUCAUUGUAGUCACUCGAUCCAUGAGAUUUAGAAGCAUUGCUGCAACAGGAUUGUAUCCGACAUGUUGUUCUUCCUUUAUCACAUCAUGAGACCUAUCAAAAUCAUAAGAACUAACAUUUUUGUUAGCAUAACUAGGGGAGGGGACAUUUGGACAAUCACUCCAAUGUCCAUCUUGACCACUACAGAAAGAACAAUUUUACUCCUUAUAGUAUUGAGAUGGUGCACACACAUUUUUUCGGGGAGCAUAUUUACAAUCUUGACAAAAGUGGGGUCCACCACAAUAUGGACAUGAAUCAUCAAGAUAAAAUUUGCAACCACCAAACUCAUAUUCAUUUCAAGAUGUCAUAGUAAUAAGCAAGUGAAAAUAAAAAUCUACCUAACACAAGAAACAAAAGAAAAUCACAAACAAAUAUUUACUAGUUUGAAUUCAAGAAACUAAGGUAAAAUUCAAACUAACUCAAUACGUCAAAUUAUUCUCCGACAAUGACGUCAUUUUUGAUAACACUGAACUCACACGUCAAUUUAAGUGCAAAGAGAUCAUUGUCAGUAUAUUACUCAACUUUGAGUCGGGAUCAAAUCCACGAGGAAUAAUGUAACUGAUGAUUGAGUAAGUUCAAAGUGAAAGUUAUUUGCUAAAUUCAAACCUAGGAUACAAGUAGUUUGGGAGAUGUUAAGAGAAUUCAAAAAGAUAACAAAUUGGAUUUCUAACUGACUAAUUUGAGGUUGAGAAUAAUUAGAGCGUAAUCAAUUAGGAACAGAUCUUGGGGCUAUGGUUUACUAGGGACAACUAGUGUGCGGGUACAUGAAAAUCAACUCCAAAUCUUAGCUAAAGUAUGCGUGGGUAGGCUCAGUUAGGGAUUUUGAUACCAUCCAUUCAAUAAAGUACCAAACUAUCAGCUAAGGAUUCUUUCGAAUACCUCGUGGGUGUGGUCAACCAAUCGUUACCAAACCUCAAUUGGGCAUUCCUAUUUCUAAGAAAAUGCCCAAAAUAUAACAAUUCCACAUUUUAUCCUUAUUUCUAAGACAAUAAAAAAAGAGUAACUAUUAUCUAUCUUAUUAUUCACAAAUCCUCAUGUUACCCACAUCCCUCUUUCAAGGAUGGCGUGGUGUUUAGAGAUAUUAAGACUUUCACCAACAAAUUCCAUUUUGCGCCCUAUUCAAUCAAGAAUUUAAGCUAACAAUCACAACCCACACACAUUUGCGCCCUAUUCAAACAUAACCCCAAGAGGGAGAACUAACUACUCAUAAGGAUAAUAAAUAAAGACAUACCAAAAUCUCCAUCAAAUAGAUUCAUGAAAGAUAAAGAAGAUGCGAAUUCAAACUUUAAGUUUCAAUAAAUCUUAAGUGGAAAAUGCUAAUCCUUCACUUAGAAGUUACUCUAAUGUAUUCUUCACCCUAUACUGGAAGAGAUUUCCAAAAAUUGGGAAUUUUUCUCUAUGAGAGAGGGUUUGGUCUCUUAAGGAAAUUGGGGACGGCUGUUGUGAAAUUACAAAACUGCCGCGUUGCCACGAUUGCUGACAUUUGUCCGUAAUCGUGGAUGCUGCAUCCGCGGUUAAAAACUCGCGAUCGCGCUUCUUUAACCUAGCAUUACUGGCUGCGAUCAUGGUCUGAGGACGACGAUCGCGGUAAUUGAGGCUGGUUUCUGCUUCAAGUCUUCUAGCUGUACUUCUUUUCUUCUUUUUGAUCCUUUUUAGCUUUAAUCCACAUCUUUCCAUCUCAUUUUUUGAUCCUUUUUAGCUUUAAUCCAUAUCUUUCCAUCUCAUAACUUGUCUGUCUGCAAAAUGUAAAAAUUAGUGCAUUUAAUCGCAAAUAUGUCUCAUUUAUACAUUCAAUUCAUAGUAGCGGGCAAGAAUGUUGAGUGCAAAUGAGUGGUAAAUUUGCCAUUCAUCAUCCACCAUUUUCACCAUCUUUGAAGCUUGAUAACUCGAAUUUGAGCAUUUUCAAAGAAAUUUUUGAGAUUUUCUUCAUGGGUAUGUUUCUAAACAUUGUAUUAUUAUUUUUCACGGAUUUCACUAUCAAUUUACCUUUAAAUCUUCAAUUCUAAAUUUUAUUUUGCAAUUUUCAUGAUAAAGUUUAAAAAUAAUAUUUUUUCAAUUUGGACCUCAUUUUUAAUUUAUUUUUACAUGAAUUUUCAGUUUUAGGUUCCUAAUGUAAUAAAAAUGUGUUUGCAAAAAUAAACUUUCAGUUUAAUCCUUUUUUAUUCGGGAUUAAUUUUUGCAUUUUUUGUAAAUUCGAAAUAAAUAUAGUUGGUGUGAGUAUCAUUGAGCCCUUUUUUGACUUAUAAAUGUCAUAUUUGAUUGGAUUGGACGCAUUUGGUGUUGAUUCAAGAGAGUUGGGAUUUCAAUUGAGGUUUUAGACUACAUUUGAAUUUGCGGAUCUUAAUUUAAGGCAUGCUAAGAUGUUCAUUGACUUUUUUCCGAAGUGUUUAUGUAUUGUAUGUUUGUUUAAUUUUUUUUUUUUGUGUAUCGCUUAGGAUUGUGGGUCCCACUUAGGUGAAAUGACGAGCAUCCCCUUGGAUACCGGAGUCUUUGAUGGAUUGUCGUUGGAUUAUUACCUUGAUUACUUAGUACUACUAUUAUUAAAUAUUCUUAGAUUGAAAUGUAGAUAGAUAACCUAGUGAUUCUCAAAUAAUGAAGAAUGGAUUGUCAUUUUAGAGCUUGAAUCUUGUUAGCGAACUUUAUUUGGAUGAUAGUGGGUUAGUGCCUUGUUAGGGGAUAAUUAUGUUAUUAUCAUCAUUAUUUUGAUGGAAUGAUUGAAUAUUUAGAGAAUACUUAGAGUAUGAAUAUACUUGUAAUAGCUGAUGAGAGUUAAUGAAUGGGCCAAGUUAGGUUUGGGUAGUCCGCAAUUUAUUAUAAUUGAGAUUGUUAUUUAUUUUGUGAUGCUCGUGUCGGGCUUAUGUGAACUUCAUUAUGGACUUGAGUAGUUAUUUGUGAUUGUAUAUCCGGGUAGGGGCUUAUAUGCAUAUUGCUUUUAAUUUGAGAGGAUAUACUAUUGUGAUGCUCGAGUGGGGGCUUGACUUGAUGUUGUUAGUCAUGUUUUGUUCAUUAAAUGACUAAUUUAUUAUUGCAUCUUUCGAGUGGAGGCUUGAUUUGACAUUGUAGUCCUUAUAUGAGUAUUUAAUUGCAUAUUCAUUACAGUGAUGUCCGACUGAGGAGUUGGGAGUGAUAAUAUUAAUGACCACAUGACUAUUUAUUUUGGUGGUGCCAAGUGGAGGAACGGAAUGAAGAAUAGAAGGAAUAUGGAUCAUAUCUUUAAUCAUUAGAUAUUAGUCAUUUGAGGAUGAUUUGUGUUUAGGAUAGAGAUAUAUCUAAACACUCCACGUGAUUAAUGAAACGAGAAUAUUGCUUAAUGCAUCUAUAUUAAAGACUCACUUCCUCGCUCAAUAAUGUAAUUUUGAAACUAAUUUGGAUAGAUAACUUAGAGGAUGAUCAUUCUCAAGUAAUAAUAUCAACCCCAUAAAUCAGUAACCACGAUAAACACCAACAUCAACUAAGUAGAAUUAGCUGUUAAUGGUUCAAUUAGCUGUUAUAGAGAGAUAAUUUUACAAAGAGUGUACUGCUGUAAUAAACAUCAUUACUGUUAUAGGUAGAAUUUCGUUAUAGAGAAGUAAAAUAUAACAAAAAAAUUAAUUUCGGAGAAAAU